Non-coding RNA from Oreochromis niloticus (Nile tilapia), 1254 nucleotides. Lineage: Eukaryota; Metazoa; Chordata; Actinopteri; Cichliformes; Cichlidae. The record is from the annotation of a RefSeq genome assembly.
CAUGACAUAAAGUCACAAAAAUAUGCUGAUGACAUAUUUUGAUAAAGUUUAGUUUAAUACAUUUUCUUCUUUGCCAAACAGAAACUUUGGGGCCCUCUUGGGUUCCCACUCUGAUCCACACACCAAACAGCAGUUUUCAGUGGAGAGUCCACAGUGUCAGAGUUUGAAGAGGAGGCAUUAGAUCAUCUCCACAGUGAGCAUGCAAAUCUUUGGUUCCUAAAGAACUCAAAGGGUUGUGCACUAUGAAUUUAUCCCUCAGGGUCAGACUGUCAGCACAUUCCACUGUAACGUCCUGCAGCGUCUGAGGGAAACAUGCAGCACAAACCACCUGAACUUUGGAGCGUGCCGUCCGUACAAGAUUUACAAUGUGGGUGAGUUUCAGAAGGAUAUAGUGGAGAGAUUAUGAGGCCAUUUCCAAACAGUUUUAAUUCCCUUUGUCUGCAGUGAGAUUAUUAUUCACAAGUGGAAACCAUUUAAGCCGCCAAUCAUCCCAGGUGAGGUAGUCCCAGCAAAUUCAUCCCAAGGUCUGAUCAUGUGAUGUUCAGAGAAACUGCAACAAAGCCAAGAGCUACAGCUCAGACUCUGCAGGCCUCAGUUAGCAGGUUAACACAGAAUGUACAAAACACAAGCUGCUGGAAGCUUUUUCCACACUGCUGACCUCCACUAGAGGGCGACAUCAUCCAGUAGGCGGUGCUCUCCUUCUGCACUGUGUUCAACCAUUGUGUCAAUAAUAAGUGCUGCUGUGAAGAGAACAAUUCUCAGACUGAAUGUUGAACAUCAGCUAGUUUCUCCUGUUGAUUGAAACCUUGUUGUACAGAUGGAACACUGGCUGUGGAUUAUUCUUGCUGCUCUUUUCUUUGAGUGUAAAGGAGAAGACAAAGUGAUCCAGGAACAAGGAGAUGUCAUUGCGGCUGAAGGAGACACAGUUACACUUGGAUGUACUUUUACAAGUCAAACAACGCCCACCUUGUUCUGGUACAAACAAGAAGUAAACGCUUACCCAAAAUAUAUCUUGCGGAAAUUUCUCUCUGGAGCAACAGAUAAAGCCCCCGAGUUCCAGGAGGACAGAUUUGAUGCUAAAAUCAACGAGACAUCAGCUCCUCUGAAGAUCCAGAAGCUUCAGCUGUCUGACUCUGCUGUGUACUACUGUGCUCUGCAGCCCACAGUGACAGGAAACACCAAAACUCUGUACAAAAACCUUUGGAGCAAAGACAACAGAAUACUCCACAACAUCCACUAGAGGGAGCCACACAC